GCGGGGCGGGGCGGGGCGGGGCCGAGCGAAGAGGAGGGGCGCGGCCCGGGGGAGGGUGGUCGUCCGCGCCGGUGCAGGCCCGGCGGUGACGCCGUGCUGGCGUGUCCUCCCCGCUCGCCCGGUAGCAGGGCACCCGGAGGGCAGGAAGCGGGCCUCCCAAAGCGCCCCCAAGGCUCACGGCAGGUGGCGCCCCCGCCAGCCACCCCGCGCCCCAGCUCUCGCUAAGCCGCCCAAGUUCGCGGCACCCUCUUCUCGUUUUACCAACCCGGGGCCUCCUCCCGCCCCGCCAGGAAGGCGUGGCUGCGGUUUUCACCUGCCCCCUGUCAAGCGGGCAGAAGCUUUGGAGUUGUGAAAGUGUUCUCCCUGGACCCGGAAAACAUCAAAGUUGUGGACUUAAAACUUCUCGCUUCAAUGUUCAAACUUUAGCAGCAUGCCUGCACAUGUUAACCAAGGGCAAAUAAACUUAUUUCUCAUUCUUCACUCAUUCAACAAGAAACUGUACAGUCUAUGGAUGAUACAAAGGGACCAGCCCUGCUGCACCCGGAAAUUCCUCUUUGGUGUGGGAGUCCCCGCAGAGUGACCCUGUGCUUCUCAGACUCACCUUUGUGGUACCCACGGAGGCUGGCAGCAUCGUGGGCCAGCCCUGGCUCUCAGUGCUAACCAGAGCCUCGGUGACCUGGCUCGUGCCUGUGGAAGGCCUGGUGAUGCCCACCGCCACCAACACCGCAGAGGAGGCAAGCUGCUGGCACCGAUUCUGUGGACGGCAAACUUCCACGUCACCAGAGAUUUUCAUCUCUGUCUGAAGGAAAUGGCCACGACGUCUGGCUUCUUGGAGAAUCCCCAGGACCCAACACAGAACACGAAAGAAAAGCGACACAGAUCAUCCGGACAGCGGCCAAAUCUGGCAAGUCUGCACCCCACCUAGCAGAAGCCCGAGCCCACCACGCAGCCCCAGGCCAGUGACCGGCCGCGGCCUGGACAUCGGAGGGACAAGUGAGUCUAAGUGGCAACUUCAGCGUCUGUAAAAUGGAGCGCAAUUAACACCCUUCUUUGGGAAGUUGUGAGAAUCCGAACUGUGAAUGCCGCCUACGACCUGCAAUAAGCAAGUUGAGUUUGCCCUUAUUGCCGUUACUGCUGUUACUAUGUUAGCUCGAGCGCCGUUGUCUCCCGCGCCCGUUCUACCCGGCAGCCCACGGCCCGCGGCCGCUCAAGCCAGAAAGUGAAGGGCUCGCGGCCCCGGGGGCGGC
Molecule: long non-coding RNA, 1247 nt
Organism: Balaenoptera ricei (Rice's whale)
Lineage: Eukaryota; Metazoa; Chordata; Mammalia; Artiodactyla; Balaenopteridae
Exons: 6
Source: RefSeq, a predicted model, not a curated record